This 465-nucleotide ribosomal RNA is filed under the name uncultured bacterium. RNAcentral's name for it is "partial 16S ribosomal RNA". It matches the Rfam family "Bacterial small subunit ribosomal RNA", at positions 338 to 795 of the family's 1533-position model. The record is from RNAcentral.
CCUACGGGAGGCAGCAGUGGGGAAUAUUGCGCAAUGGGCGAAAGCCUAACGCAGCGACGCCGCGUGAGGGAUGAAGGUCUUCGGAUCGUAAACCUCUGUCAGCAGGGAAGAACGGUCACUGUGCUAAUCAGCCGUGAAUUGACGGUACCUGCAAAGGAAGCACCGGCUAACUCCGUGCCAGCAGCCGCGGUAAUACGGAGGGUGCGAGCGUUAAUCGGAAUUACUGGGCGUACAGCGCUCGUAGGCGGUAUGUCAAGUAAAGGGUGAAAUCCCCGCGCUCAACGUGGGAACUGCCUUUGAAACUGGCAAACUGGAGUGUGUGAGAGGAUAGUGGAAUUCUAGGUGUAGGAGUGAAAUCCGUAGAUAUCUGGAGGAACAUCAGUGGCGAAGGCGACUAUCUGGCACAUAACUGACGCUGAGGAGCGAAAGCGUGGGUAGCAAACAGGAUUAGAUACCCGGGUAGUC